CAAAAAGAAGCCUAGUACUCCUGCUGUGCUCGUGCUCAUGAGAACAGUGACUAUCUAACUGAAGAUAUGCAAUCGCCUGUAAAUAUCAAGAUGGGCUUUCAUCCAUUGUGAAGGGGAAGGAAAGUGAACUAUCAUGGGGGGUGAUCUUCAUACCAAGGAUGCUGUGUGUGUCCUCUCAGUGAUCCUAGGUCAAUACUGAGGGGAUCUAAUAAAGGGCUGUAAUGGUUGCAGAAAAACGAGCCAUUUGCUGCAAUUACGUGCAGGAAUAGUGGAUACUUGGGAUAUCAAAACACAGCUGCUGAUGUAUCUGUAAGAUGUGGCCUAGCACUUACCACAUUCAUAUCACAUUGAUCCUUACUUUACUAAUGGCAUUAACGGACAAUUAGAUAAGAUAAGUGUUGAUCAAAGUUAUCUCGUUGACUUUGUGGAACAUUCGGGUUUGACGUUAAACUUAUCAGAAGCGAGUGUGAUUAAGAACAAGAAAAUCACGGUUAUUAACUCUGCUGGUGCCCAGUUUCGGAAUUUUAUUGCACAUCGUUCCCUGUCGAAAUUGUCUGCUUCGUGCUGAGAACCUGUAUUCGCAAAAAAUACCUUGUCAUCGUUGUUUUGUCAUAGGUAGUUGUGUGGAAUGGGCAUGUA
Long non-coding RNA from Daphnia carinata, 639 nucleotides. RefSeq lists it as uncharacterized. The transcript is spliced from 5 exons. NCBI's taxonomy places the organism in Eukaryota, Metazoa, Arthropoda, Branchiopoda, Diplostraca, Daphniidae. The record is from RefSeq and is a predicted model, not a curated record.